Molecule: ribosomal RNA, 497 nt
Filed under: uncultured bacterium
Lineage: Bacteria
Description: partial 16S ribosomal RNA
Rfam family: Bacterial small subunit ribosomal RNA
Source: RNAcentral
GAUGAACGCUGGCGGCGUGCCUAAUACAUGCAAGUCGAGCGAACGGACGAGAAGCUUGCUUCUCUGAUGUUAGCGGCGGACGGGUGAGUAACACGUGGAUAACCUACCUAUAAGACUGGGAUAACUUCGGGGAACCGGAGCUAAUACCGGAUAAUAUUUUGAACCGCAUGGUUCAAAAGUGAAAGACGGUCUUGCUGUCACUUAUAGAUGGAUCCGCGCUGCAUUAGCUAGUAGGUAAGGUAACGGCUUACCAAGGCAACGAUGCAUAGCCGACCUGAGAGGGUGAUCGGCCACACUGGAACUGAGACACGGUCCAGACUCCUACGGGAGGCAGCAGUAGGGAAUCUUCCGCAAUGGGCGAAAGCCUGACGGAGCAACGCCGCGUGAGUGAUGAAGGUCUUCGGAUCGUAAAACUCUGUUAUUAGGGAAGAACAUAUGUGUAAGUAACUGUGCACAUCUUGACGGUACCUAAUCAGAAAGCCACGGCUAACUACGUG